ACCCCACAUAGAUGAGUUGGGUGCCAUGCUGUUAGCAGACGAGGAGAGCAGUAUUAUGCAUCAGGUGCACGCCGUCAGCUUUGUAGAAGAUUCCAUCUUCAUGGAGUCAUCUCUUGGUCCACGUUUGCUUGAAGACAGGCACGUGACACAAGCGGACCUCAAGAGCUCCACGUUUUGGCUCCGAGCAAGUUUUGGUGCUACUGUCUUUGCAUUUCUGGGUUUCGCUAUGUACAAAGCAUUAAUAAAGCAGCGGUGAUCUGAGAAGAAGCACAUCUGGCCCUACCAAAUGGAAAUAAACUUUUAUGUACAUUCUGAA
This is a long non-coding RNA of Tympanuchus pallidicinctus (lesser prairie-chicken), 316 nucleotides long. RefSeq lists it as uncharacterized. The transcript has 2 exons. Lineage: Eukaryota; Metazoa; Chordata; Aves; Galliformes; Phasianidae. The record is from RefSeq and is a predicted model, not a curated record.